Molecule: ribosomal RNA, 561 nt
Filed under: uncultured Ascomycota
Lineage: Eukaryota; Fungi; Ascomycota
Description: SSU rRNA
Rfam family: Eukaryotic small subunit ribosomal RNA
Source: RNAcentral
GAAUUUCGCCCUUCCAGUAGUCCAUAAUGGCUUGUCUCAAAGAUUAAGCCANGCAUGUCUAAGUAUAAGCAAUCUAUACAGUGAAACUGCGAAUGGCUCAUUAAAUCAGUUAUCGUUUAUUUGAUAGUACCUUACUACUUGGAUAACCGUGGUAAUUCUAGAGCUAAUACAUGCUAAAAAUCCCGACCUCUGGAAGGGAUGUAUUUAUUAGAUAAAAAACCAAUGCCUUCGGGCUCCUUGGUGAUUCAUGAUAACUUAACGAAUCGCAUGGCCUUGUGCCGGCGAUGGUUCAUUCAAAUUUCUGCCCUAUCAACUUUGGAUGGUAGGAUAGUGGCCUACCAUGGUUUCAACGGGUAACGGGGAAUUAGGGUUCUAUUCCGGAGAGGGAGCCUGAGAAACGGCUACCACAUCCAAGGAAGGCAGCAGGCGCGCAAAUUACCCAAUCCCGACACGGGGAGGUAGUGACAAUAAAUACUGAUACAGGGCCCUUUCGGGUCUUGUAAUUGGAAUGAGUACAAUUUAAAUCCCCUUAACGAGGAACAAUUGGAGGGCAAGUCUGGU